GACGAACGCUGGCGGCGCGCCUAACACAUGCAAGUCGAGCGAUGAACAUUGAAUGAUCCCUUCGGGGUGAUUUCGAUCGGAUUAGCGGCGAACGGGUGAGUAACGCGUGAGGAACCUGCCUCUUACAACGGGAUAGCCUCGGGAAACCGGGAUUAAUACCGUAUAAGACUCCGACAUCUCCUGAUGAUGAAGUCAAAGCGUUAGCGGUAAGAGAUGGCCUCGCGUCUGAUUAGCUUGUUGGCGGGGUAACGGCCCACCAAGGCGACGAUCAGUACCCGGCCUGGGAGGGUGAACGGUCACAUUGGAUCUGGGACACGGUCCAAACUCCUACGGGAGGCAGCGGUGGGGAAUUUUGCACAAUGGGGGCAACCCUGAUGCAGCGACGCCGCGUGAGCGAUGAAGGUUUUCGAAUCGUAAAGCUCUGUCCUAUGGGAAGAUAAUGACGGUACCAUGGGAGGAAGCCCCGGCUAACUACGUGCCAGCCGCCGCGGUAA
RNAcentral lists this ribosomal RNA (494 nucleotides) under uncultured bacterium. Its description in RNAcentral is "partial 16S ribosomal RNA". It matches the Rfam family "Bacterial small subunit ribosomal RNA", at positions 28 to 523 of the family's 1533-position model. The record is from RNAcentral.